GAUGAACGCUGGCGGCGUGCCUAAUACAUGCAAGUCGAGCGAACGGACGAGAAGCUUGCUUCUCUGAUGUUAGCGGCGGACGGGUGAGUAACACGUGGAUAACCUACCUAUAAGACUGGGAUAACUUCGGGAAACCGGAGCUAAUACCGGAUGAUAUUUUGAACCGCAUGGUUCAAAAGUGAAAGACGGUCUUGCUGUCACUUAUAGAUGGAUCCGCGCUGCAUUAGCUAGUUGGUAAGGUAACGGCUUACCAAGGCAACGAUGCAUAGCCGACCUGAGAGGGUGAUCGGCCACACUGGAACUGAGACACGGUCCAGACUCCUACGGGAGGCAGCAGUAGGGAAUCUUCCGCAAUGGGCGAAAGCCUGACGGAGCAACGCCGCGUGAGUGAUGAAGGUCUUCGGAUCGUAAAACUCUGUUAUUAGGGAAGAACAUAUGUGUAAGUAACUGUGCACAUCUUGACGGUACCUAAUCAGAAAGCCAAGGCUAACUACGUG
Molecule: ribosomal RNA, 497 nt
Filed under: uncultured bacterium
Lineage: Bacteria
Description: partial 16S ribosomal RNA
Rfam family: Bacterial small subunit ribosomal RNA
Source: RNAcentral